Molecule: long non-coding RNA, 434 nt
Filed under: Apteryx owenii (little spotted kiwi)
Lineage: Eukaryota; Metazoa; Chordata; Aves; Apterygiformes; Apterygidae
Description: lncRNA (ENSAOWG00000011144.1)
Source: RNAcentral
CGGGCUGGCUGCGGAGCGCGCCGCUUGGAGCGUGGCCGCGCUCGGCGCCUUCGCUCUAAUGAUUUUAAUUGCGUGGUUUUUGCUUUGAGUGAACUAAAGCGAGUGCGAUUACUUCUUUUUUUUUUUCUUUCUUUCUUUCUUUCUUUCUUUUUUUUUUUCCCUGGUUUCACCAAAAGGCUGUCAGCAUCAGUUGUUCAGACGUAACGUACCUACCAAAGUCUCCUGAGAACGUUUUUUCUGAGCGAUUCCAGCUUCCAGACACAUUUGCCAUGAUAAGGGUUUCGAUCCUUUCCCGUGCUUGCUCUGAGCCAUGAGUGGAUAUGUGUGAUGCCUGCAAGUAAAACUGGUAUUCUGCUGUGUGAUAAACUCCAGGAAGAAGUGAAGAAAAACUUAGAAAGAAAAGACUUUUUGUUUAAUAUAAAGCCCAGACUUUG